UCCUUUUCUGCUUUGCAAAAGUGCUUGCUGGCAGCGGGGAGGAGCUGAAAGUGGACUGGGGUGGGGUUUUCUGAAGAGUCAGGGUGGCGUGUUUGGAAAGCCUUGUAUGGCAAGGGCAUGUGAAUUCCUGGGGAGGGCCUGGCAAGCUUUACUGCUCCGUGGAAGAUCAAAGCUAAAAGGCCCUUUCUGCAAACCUAGCAAACGUGAGAGCUUCACGUGAUUGGAGAACUGACCUCACCCUGAGGUUAGUGGUGACUAGGGGGAGAAAGACAAGCUGGGAGGAGAGAUUUCCCUUAAAUCAAGAACUUAAGCAUCUUUUGCUAUGGUGACAAGGAAGCUCCAGAGAGUUCUGGGAAUCCUGGGAAGCAAGCUACCUUGGAGUCAGAGAAAAGCAUACGGGGAAACUGAGCCAGGAGGACCACUUUGAGCUCAGUGAUUUGAGACUUAAACAACAUGAGACCCUCAAAGCUGGAAUUAGGGGUACCAAGGAGAAAGAAAGCUGAAUGUUAAGGUCAAUGAUCUUGACCGGGUUAACCACUGAUCAUCUGAAGGUUAGACUUUAGCCCUGUUCCCUCGUGCCUAACGGGCUUGGAAAAGAGGGGGAGCAAGCAUUUCUCCCGCUGCCCUGGCCCUUAGGUCCAGAGCUAGGAAGCUGCUGCAGAGCACCAUGGGAGGAACUGGGAGGAGCUAAGACAAACAAGGCCAGAGGCUUUUCAGGAAAACUUGGUUUUGAAGUCAGCCUCCGCUCCCUCUCCCUCCUCCCAGCCAACUGUGUGGAGGGAGAGCUGGGAGUGUCCAAGUGCUGGGGUUACAGAUGUGUUACCUAUACACCCAGUCAAAGAAGUGUCUUUGGAGACUCCAUUUGAAGUAGGUAUACCCAUAUGAGCUCACUCACUUCCCACUCUGUGGUAUGUGUGUGUGUGUGUGUGUGUGUUUUCUCCAGGGAAUAAAAUGAAAAGUAGAGCUUUUCCUUAACUCUAAAAAAUUCUAAUCUGUAAACUGUAUUCCUUUCUCUAUCAGGAGCUUCUGGAAGAACAGCAGAGAAACCAGGGAACCAGGGCCACCAAAGAAAUGUGUCAAAGGGUGGUGGGGACAAGACUGGAUGUGUGACCUCUCUUUGCCCUAAACCUUGGCUUGAGACAACAGGUGUAGGAGUUAGGGAGCUGGCUCAGCAGUUAAGAGCAAUGGCUGCUCUUGCAGAGGAUCAAUUUCCAGCACCCACAUGGCAGCUCACAACCAUCUGUAACUCUAGCUCCAGACAAUCUGGUAUAGUUUUCUGGCCUCUGUGGGCACCAGAGACACACAUACACAAGGACAAAAUACCCAUAGACAUAAAGGAAAAAUUAAGUUAAAUAAAAAUAAAACAAGACAUACCUUAUAGCCAGUAGGAUGGUGGCUGAUCAUGCCUCUAAGCCAAGAAACCGAGAAGCUGAGGCAAGGGGAUUACUAUGAGUUCAAAGUGAGCCUGGGCUACUUAAAGUUCCAGGCCACUGAUUCUUGGUGACAGCAUGAGACUUGUCUCAAUCAAUCAAUCAAUCAAUCAAUUCAUCAAAGAUCUCUACUACAGCAACCACACAACAUCCUUCCCCUCCCACCAGCCAGCCAGACAUUCUAGCUUAACACACACACACACACACACACACACACACACACACACACACACGUACACACACGUACACACACGUACACACACGUACACACACGUACACACACACGUACACAAACUCAUAGAGACACACAUAGACACAUAUAUACACACAUAUACAAACACACAGACACACACACACAUACACACACGCGUAUGUAAAGCCAGUCUUAGCCCCCAAGAGGUCAGACCCAAUGACUAGCACUCCAUAAAGUAUAGCCCCAGAACCCUAGUGUGGGUACUUCCACUCGGUUUCUUUGAAGUCUGGGAUUCUGAGAAGUGACCUCACUAUUUAGAGGCUUUGUUGGAUUCUCUGUGUUUGUAUUUUCAACUAUAUCCUUAGUUUUCCCAGGAUUCUUUGAACUGGAAAAGCCAUCAAAGAUAGAAAACCAGAGCUGGAGAGAUGGCUCAGCAGCUAAGAACACUAGCUGCUUUUACAGAGCACCUGGUUUCGGUUCCUAGCACUCACAUGGUGGCUCACAACUGAGUGUAACUCCAGUUUCUGGGAGGAUCUGAUGCCCUGUUCUGCCUUCCUCUGACACCAGACAUGUAUCUGGUGCAUAUACAUCAGACAGACAGACAGACAAAACACACAUACACCUAAAAUAAAAAUUAAAAAAAAAAAUAAUAAGCUGGGCGGUGGUGACACACACCUCUAACCCCAGCACUUAGGAGGCAGAGGCAGGUGGAUUUCUGAGUUCAAGGCCAGCCUGGUGAGUUCCAGGAUAGUCAGGGCUACACAGAGAAAUCCUGUCUUGAAAGAAAAAUUGUUUUUAAAGAAAAGUAGCAAAAGGAAAGAUGGAGGACUCUAAGCUCUGACUUGAGCUCCUCUGUAUACUUCUGAGGGGCUAGGGGUUUAUGAUCAUGAAUAUAAACAUCACCUUUACAUGUGUAUGUAUGCACUGAGUGUACAUGGCCAGGUGGGUGUAUGACCCAAGACCUAUUCUCCUUGACGGUAGGUUGUUCUGGGUAACACGACAACACCCUGUGCAGACCUCAAGUGGCCUCAAUCUUGGGCAGACUGCUUGACUGAGUGACUUGAGGGUGGGACCCUAAUGAAAAUAGGUCAGGCUUCAGUAGGUGCCUUCCCAUCCCCCUCCUUUCUCACCAAGGACUCAUUGCCCAGGUUAAAAACCUGUUGGCCCAGGUGAUGCAAACCUGGGACAGAAACCCAGAAACCCGGGGAUGCCCCUGAAUCAGGGAACCCGGGGAUGCCCCUGAAUCAGGGAACCAGCUAUUGACUUACAAGAGAGGCUCAUUUCCUAUCGUUCUGGAUCGUUUUCCUGGUUUCUAAAAGGCUGGUUUUCCCAGUCUCGCCCAAAAAUCUUACCAUUGGGGGAGAACCUCAAGACAGGAGGCACAAAGUCUGAGUUAAUUUUGUUAUUGUGAAAACUUGAGGAAAGAAAGGAUAAGGCAAGAUCUAGGCAGGCCCGAAUGGGUUCAAUGGGUGUGUUUUCCCACCUUUACUGGACCACAAUUCUUUCCAAGGAAAUCAGAAAGUAAACUUCAUAUUAAGUGCCAACUGUAUGCCAGGCACUCUGCUAAGAACCUUAUACACGUGAUCUCCUUUGGUUUUCAUAGCUUUUCAGGGCAGUAGGUCACAUUCUUAUAUAUUGGAGAUCAGGAAACUGAGACUUAGAGAUAUUUAUUAACCUGGCCAUGGUGCUGGAAGGGACUAGGAGAUUUGUCGUGAAACUGUAUUUACAGAACACUACCAAAGAAGGACAGCAUUAAUCGAGGGGAUUGGAAGGGCGAGGCUCCCUAGCCUCACUUGGAACAACCACUACAUGUCACUGUCAGUCAGCAUGGCGAUCUAUGUUGGGGGUUCAGUGCCAGGCUUGAAGGAGAAAUUCAGCUAGCCAGAUCUCCCUUCCCAGGGAGACUGAGCGAUGAAGAGGAUACAUCCCAAGCAACAAUCGUGCUGGGCGGGAGGUGCAGCACCAAGAGAAGUGUCUGCUUCCUCCCACACAAGAGCCUUGGCCUCCCAGAACCUCUCCUCUAACUCCAGCAUUUCCUCUUCCCUUAAACUCUUUCUCCAUCCUAUGUUCCCAUUAUCUGGUUGUAGAGGGUAGGAACGGCCCAGAGUAGGAUGCAAGAACCAAACCAACCAGCAAUUAAAAAACAAACAAACAAAACACACACACACACACACACACACAAAACAGGGAGCUGGAAAGAUGGCUCAGCGGUUAAGAGCACUGACUGCUCUUCCAGAGGUCCUGAGUUCAAUUCCCAGCAACCACAUGGUGGCUCACAACCAUCUGUAACGGCAUUUGAUGCCCUCUUCUGGUGUGUCUGAAGACAACUAUAGUGUAUCCAUAUAAAUAAAGCCUUUAAAAAACAAACAAAAAACAAAAUUUCCUCGUGGACUGCUUCAGAGGCAGGGGACUCAAGCAGCCAUCUGAGUUCUUUAUCAAGUCCCCUAAUUAUGGGGUCCUCAGCUGGUGAUGAAUGAGAACAAGGGCGGAGAGGCCAGGGCCCUCAGAGCCUCUCAGUGCUUCCUUCCAGGAAUGUGUUAAAACUGGGUUGAGCCGGGUGUGGUGGCACACGCCUUUAAUCCCAGCACUUGGGAGGCAUAG
This is a long non-coding RNA of Mus musculus (house mouse), 4224 nucleotides long. RefSeq annotates it as predicted gene, 31862. Lineage: Eukaryota; Metazoa; Chordata; Mammalia; Rodentia; Muridae. The record is from RefSeq and is a predicted model, not a curated record. The transcript is spliced from 3 exons.